Long non-coding RNA from Xiphophorus maculatus (southern platyfish), 1116 nucleotides. RefSeq lists it as uncharacterized. The transcript is spliced from 4 exons. NCBI's taxonomy places the organism in Eukaryota, Metazoa, Chordata, Actinopteri, Cyprinodontiformes, Poeciliidae. The record is from RefSeq and is a predicted model, not a curated record.
GAAGGGUUUUUGUUUUGUAUCAGCGAGCUGAUUCUUAACGAAGUAUUUGACCUGAUGAAGCAGUUUUAGGAGGUUUCUUAGUUCCGCCUCCCCUUUUUGUUUCUACGCAACAAUUACUCUAACUAGAUGCCCCCGCCUCCCCUCCUUCGACAUUUCAAACGAUCUAGUUCAUAAGCUCCAUUUUGUGUGGCAACACAGAGCUGAGCUCCUCCGGUCUGCUGUCCGCCGCAGGAGGGCUUCUGGGCUUAGAACUCCGAGAGUUCGAAACGGGGAAGUGAACUGGAAUGACGUCUCUGCUCUGUGACGUCGGAUCGUUAGUCCAGCAGCAGCCAUACUUACUUAAGACGUUCAUCAUUCAAAGGUUGAGCCUGGCUCGCCAUCUUCCUCUGCGUCUCCCUGAUGGAAAGCCUCUGGUGGAGGCAAACCUGGUGGUUUAGGAUUUUUAAAGGCUGCUGCCAACAUUGUUUGUAAAUUGUAAAUUAAUUUUAGUAGUCAUACCUCUGCUACGGCUAAACCAAGCAAAACACCAGUCAUCCAGCGGGGUGACACAGCUGUGCUCUCGUGGGUUGCUGGUGAUUGGCUCUGGAAGAAGUGUGGAACAUGUCGGGAACAGGAGUGGGACAAACUGUGUUCAAAACCUAAACAAUAUUUAAUAUUGUCAUGCAACACUUCAAAGGCACAGGCUGACCAGAGGGAUGAGAACAACCUAAUCUGGAAUGUGGUGAUCUCACAUUCCAAGAGUGAAUCACAGAGAACAGAGGAUACAUCAGCAUUAACAGGCUGUUUGUCUCCCACCCACUUCACCCCAUCACUCCCCAACCUUUGACCUCUGCGUCUCCGCCCCUCCCCCCAAGCACACAGAAAACGCUGCUCACGUGCUCUUCUAAAGAGGGGAAGAAAAAUGGGAAAAAAUCAGCUAAUUAUCAUUGAAUAUGUUAUAUGUAGCAAUGAAGUAACUUUAUUCUUAACAAAUAAAAGCAACAUUUUAUCUUUGUGUGAACCUACCUGCCUUGAUAUCCGCUCAACGUUGCUGCUGUUACACCUGGAGUUCCCCACUGUGGGACAAUGAAGGCUACUUUAUUCUACUUCAUAGUUUCAAGUUCCUAAAUGAAAAGU